Non-coding RNA from Acanthosepion pharaonis, 109 nucleotides. The record is from the annotation of a GenBank genome assembly. NCBI's taxonomy places the organism in Eukaryota, Metazoa, Mollusca, Cephalopoda, Sepiida, Sepiidae.
UUACGGCGAUAUCACGUCGAAACAUUGGUUCCCGUACGAUCACCGAAGUUAAGCAACAUUAAAUAUGGUCAGUACCUAGAUAGGUGACCGCUUGAGAAUACCAGGUGCU